UUUCCCACGGGGCGCAGCAGUGGGGAAUAUUGCACAAUGGGGGAAACCCUGAUGCAGCGACGCCGCGUGAAGGAUGAAGUAUUUCGGUAUGUAAACUUCUAUCAGCAGGGAAGAAAAUGACGGUACCUGACUAAGAAGCCCCGGCUAACUACGUGCCAGCAGCCGCGGUAAUACGUAGGGGGCAAGCGUUAUCCGGAUUUACUGGGUGUAAAGGGAGCGUAGACGGCUGUGCAAGUCUGAAGUGAAAGCCCGUGGCUCAACCGCGGAACUGCUUUGGAAACUGUAUAGCUUGAGUACUGGAGAGG
This 305-nucleotide ribosomal RNA is filed under the name uncultured bacterium. RNAcentral describes it as "bacterial SSU rRNA". It matches the Rfam family "Bacterial small subunit ribosomal RNA", at positions 335 to 657 of the family's 1533-position model. The record is from RNAcentral.